Molecule: long non-coding RNA, 359 nt
Filed under: Physcomitrium patens
Lineage: Eukaryota; Viridiplantae; Streptophyta; Bryopsida; Funariales; Funariaceae
Description: long non-coding RNA (PPAT_LNC007114)
Source: RNAcentral
UAAAAUACCAAAAAACACUACAAUACUUUCUUUCAAGAACAAUAUUCCUUCAUCAACUGAUAACAACAGUGUGCAACCCUGCACUCUUAAAAGACUGCUCAAAAUUCAUAAAUUCCAUCCAACACCAGGAAUAACAGACUUCAUUCCAACCAAUUUGGAUUCACAGAAUUUCUGUAAUCAUAGACUUCUUUUGUCCAAAACACACACGACUCUCAAUAAACAACAAUCAUAAUCUUCUAUCCAUAAUCAAUCUUCUAAUAACUUCUUAUAUAAUUCAAUCACAUAAUACUCUAAUUACAUAAUCAAUAACUCAUAAAUCAAUCUCUCAUUUAUUCUACAUACUCACUUCUUAGUAUUCA